Molecule: non-coding RNA, 184 nt
Filed under: Bacillota bacterium
Lineage: Bacteria; Bacillati; Bacillota
Description: Firmicutes bacterium (anaerobic digester metagenome) 6S RNA
Rfam family: 6S / SsrS RNA
About the family: E. coli 6S RNA was the first non coding RNA to be sequenced, but its function was unknown until recently.
Source: RNAcentral
CCAGCCCUACUGUGCUCGUGUUCGAGCUGCUCGUGUUGUGAGCCAACACAACAUUCAAGGGAGCCGCUGCUCUGGGAGUGGCCCACAUGCCGCCUCGGUUGGCGGACGUGGAAAGCUUUCAGGCGGGCACCCACCUGCCGAGAGCAGGUUCUCAACAAGCAGCUAAGCGGCAUGGUGGGGUGUU